This 6561-nucleotide long non-coding RNA is filed under the name Brassica rapa (field mustard). RNAcentral describes it as "long non-coding RNA (BRAP_LNC007981)". The record is from RNAcentral. Lineage: Eukaryota; Viridiplantae; Streptophyta; Magnoliopsida; Brassicales; Brassicaceae.
GGAUGAGUACAUGAAGCUGUAUAAAGCUAACCCUAAGGUGCAUAAGAGCUACUUGGGAAGGCCGUGGAAAGAUUAUUCAAGGACUGUGUUUAUAGGGUGUAAUUUAGAGGCUUUGAUUAAUUCCGAUGGGUGGUUACCUUGGAGCGGGGAUUUGUCGCUCAAGACGCUUUAUUACGGUGAAUCUAAGAACACGGGUCCGGGAUCUGAUAGGUCAAAAAGGGUUCCAUGGAGCAGUGUGAUUCCAGACGAGCAUGUUGAUAUGUAUUCGGUGGCUAACUUUAUUCAAGCCGAGGAGUGGGCAAUGUCUGGUUGAAUCAAGUCAAGACUAAAAAGCGUUGUUCGUUAGUUGAUAAAGUUUUUAAAACAAAGAUAUCCAAAAUUUUGCAUUCGUAUUAGUUGUAUCAACUGAAGUUUCAGAUCUUUAUGACUUAUUGAGGUCAGUGCCGGUCCAUUGAAUCUGAGGGCUAGAAAUUCAAAGAAAAUUAUGGGCAGUGAAAAUAAGUAUAUUUUCAAAAAUAUAAAAGAUUUUGUAUGGAAUGAGAUCCGAACUCCCUACAUAUAGAUUAUACAUCAACAUUUCAACCAUUAUGCUUCAGAGAACAUUGGCCAAAACAAACCGGUUUAAUCUAUAUAACUAGUUAUUAACCCGCAUGAUCAAGUUUUCUUUAAUACAUAAAUAUUUUAGUUUAUGCAAUAAACUAUAUCAGUAAAUUAAUAUAGUUUGGUGUUAUAUAUAUUAUCUAAUUUUAUAAUAAUAUUUGUAAAGCGUAUAAUAUUAUUACAAUAAAAUUUAUAAAUUUUGUAUUUUUGUAACAAAAAUUUCAUUUAAAAACAUUAUUAUGUAACAAUACUGAUUUACAUAAUUUUUGUAUUAUUUUAAAAUUUGAAAUAUAUGUGAAAAUUAAAUUAACAUCUCAACCAUUACACUACAGAGAAUAUUCGCCAAAAAAACCGGUUUAAUCUAUAUAAUAUUUUGGGCCGAAAACUCGAAUUUCUAAUGCUUCCUAUCAGAGCCGGUACUGAUUGAGUUAAAAUAAUAAAGUUACAAACUAUAGAAGGAAGCAACUUUUUUUGCGUAGUUAUCACUAAAUCUAGCUAUCAACGUUUAGCAUGUGGGUUGUAAUUAAAUGAGUAUGGAGGAGAAUUUCUUGUGACGAUCGGGGAAGCGUAUCAUGGUUUUUGCUUGACGUUAAAGAAGAAUUUGUUGUUGUAAGCUUUUAAGGAAGUAGACAUCAGUCAUCAUUUGAAUGUUUUUGAGGGUUUUUUUUUUUUUGCUAAAGUGUUUUUGAGAGUUGACCGUUUAAUUCCAAAGAAGAGUAGGUUUCAAUGGUAAAACAAAUUUACAUUUAGUCUGAUAGGGUUCUUUUUAAGUGGUUCACCUAAAGACAUGCUAGUCGGGUAGGUGUCCAUGCAUUAGGCACAUAAUUCUAAUGUUUUGGACCUUUUGGUGAAUCAUAGGGCCACGCAUUAAAAAAAAAAAAAAAACUGUUGGGCAGAAAUAGCCUCUCGAGACCGGUUGAUCAUGUCCAAAAUAUUAUAGCAAAAAAAAAGGAUGGUAGGGAAACUGCAUCUUGAUAUGAGAUUUUGCUUAUAUGGUUCCAAUGGCACUCGUUGUGGAGUGGUAGUUGAGGAGUGCUGGAUUCGAUUGCAUAAGCUCGUUCCAUCUGUUAAUAAAAUGACCAAUUAGUUUUUGAUCUAUUUAUUUUGGCUAAAUAUAUUAAAUCAACUUGUAUAAAUCUAAUAAAAAAUUGAUAUAUAAAUUGUAUAAUUAUCAAAAAUUAAAACUAAACAGUAUUUAUAAAAAAAAUAUAUAAAAUAAACUAAUAAUAUUACAAUUAAAAUUUUCUAUUUAAAAAAAAUAGAAAAUUUUGAAAUUUUUAUUGAUAAAAAUUGUAUAGUUAUAAAAAUAGAAUUAAAUGAUAUUUAAAAAUUUGUAAUGUCAUAUUUGAAUAUAUAUAUAUAUAUAUAAUGAUAAUGUAUGAAUUAUUAUCAUAUUUUAAAAGUUUAAUAAAAAUAUAAAUCAAUGUUAAAUGUAAUAUAUGAUUUAUUACUAUAUUAUAAAAAAUUUAGCAAAAGUAUAAAUCAACAUUAAAUGUAACUGUCUAUAUCUUAUUUAUCUAUAAAUUAUCUUAUCAAUUUUAGUAGAUAUGUCAUAUUUUGUUUUUUUGUGAAAGUGAUUGUAGAAACGAUAUAUGACAAGUCACUUUUCAAAUAAUGUUUAGAAGAUGCUAUUAUUCACAUUAAAAUUGUCCAAAACUAGUCUACAAUUUCAAAGUUAGGAAAACAAUAAUAGCCUUGUUUGUUUCAUGGCCACUGCGUCAGACCAUCCGCAACGCAGAGAUUUCAUGAAUCUUUAGCGCAUUAACCUAGGAUGAUCUCAAUAAAAAAAUAUUAAUAAGGCUGAGAUCAGUAAGGAGUGGUCCCUAAAUAAGGUGUUUAAGAACUGAGUCUUUAGUGACGUGGCAACGUCAUGCGCUCUUUCCUUCUCUUUCCUCCUUUCUUUUCGUUUUCCACCGACGUCACCGAUCUCCGCCGGAGACUCUCUCUGAUUAUCCUCUCCCUUCUGUAUCCUUUCGAUUGACAGAUUCGAUUUCGUCUCUUCCUUAUUUCUUCCAAAACCUUCAACUUUCUCAAUUUAGGAGUAAAUCAAAGAUCUCUCUUUGUUGAUGGGCACCGCAGAGGUUUUUGGAUCUCCGACGAAAUCGCCGCUCACGGUAUCGACUUCCAUCACAAAAAUCUUCGAUGGUUCAUACUUUUUUUUUCCUAAGAAUUUCUAAAUGGAGUACACCAUUGGACACACAUUUUUGAUAAAAAAUUUUAACUAUUCAAACAAAAGAAAUUAAAAAAAAAAUUACUUUAAUAUUGCUAAGGACUCCAAUGGUGGUAACACCAUUGGAGAUGCUCUCAAGUGUCAGCGGCAAGAAAAGGUAAUGCGAAGGAAAUAAAAAUAAUAGAAACUGUCAAACUGAGAAUUAUGGAGACUCAAAAAGUUAAAUGCAGAUGUAACAGAAAGUGAACUUUUCACGUCAUUAAUUUCAGCGUCUCUUUCACUCAUUAUUAAUUGCUACCCGUCUGGAAAAUAAGUUAGCGCUAACUUUCACCGGUGUUUUGGAUCGCAGACGCUAGAUGCAGCAGUCAUGAAACGAACAGUGGUAAUACAUUUUUCUUUUCCAGGGGUAAUACAUAACAACCCAAAAUCAGAUAAAUAGAGCUCAACUGUAGACGUAAACAUUAAACAGAUGAUAACCAAAUACCAACCCGGAUAAUCUCAUCACCUUUCCUUCCUAAUAAAACCGUACUUUAAAAGAAGGUCAGCCCACAAAAUUCCAAUCUCUAUCAUCUCCGUAACUCUAAUGGUAUGUGUGAGUGUAAUAAAAAAUGGUAUGUGUGACUAUCUAUAUAUAUAAAGAAAUGUUCGCCUCUCUCCCGUGAAGCCACGUCAUCAAUUUGUGCAUUCUGGGAGUGACACGUGUCUCAUUUUAUAUUUAGGGCCAAAAUAAAUGAAUGCAGUUAAGGGUAAUUGAACUCAGCACCUCUAGCACUGGUAAUUUCUCUUAGAACCACUAGGCUAAAGUCAAUUUUUAUAAAUAUGUGGCCGCGAAAAUACUUAUUAUCGUGUCAGCUGGAAGCCCAAGCUUUUUCUGCUUGUGGUCAGGGCCGACACUGAAUUGACGUCAAGAUGAAGAUCGUGAAAUCAAAAACUUUGCUCCAAACAGUUUUGCAAUGUUUCCAACCUUUAUAACUCGAUGCAUAUAAUAUAUAUCAAAAUACAUUUGUUGUACACGCUUUUAUUAGUUUUGCUUUUAAAAGAAGGUAUUUACAGUUAUAAAUGUUUUGUGUCAGUGAAGUAAUGGUUGAAAAAUCUAUAUACAUAUGUCAUUUUAAAAUAACACUCAACUUCUAUAUAUAGUCAAUACAUAUGUCCAUGUUAUAUUUUAGACUAAAUAUUUUCUCUUUUAAAAAUAUAGAAAACAAUUUUUUUAGUCUACAAGCAAAUGUUGUAGAGUAAGUAUGCAUUAUACAAAAUAAUAUAUAUUUAAAAUCCAUACACAAAAACAUAAAAAUUGUUAUAGGCCUCUUUUUGACACAUGCACACUCCACUAUGAAUAAUAAUUAAAAAAAAAACAGUAUUGUCAUCAAACUUCAUCACAAAUCCACAUUUGUACAUCUAUAAUUAUGAGUUGGACAAUUAGUUAAUUUGAUACAAUACCAAAUCAAGAAUAAUCGAAAAACAACUAUACCACCGCAUACUAAUAAGUAAGACAUAAAAGAUAACCAAAUUCUUGAAUCUUAAAACAAAUUUCAACUCGAGCAUUUAGUGAAUAUCAAAUUAACUAAUAUCCCGCCCGUAGGGCGGGCCGACCCUAGUAAUCAAUAUUUAAUUUUCUGAUAUUAUUUUCCAUAGAAAACAAUAUAAUUCAUUCUAAUCUCUAUCAUCUCCGUAACUCUAAUGGUAUCUAUAACUGUAACCAAUAUUUAAUUUUCUGAUAUUUUUUUCCAAUUUCAGAAAACAACAUAAUUUAUUUUUGACCAUUCCCAUAAACAGAUAUAUAUACACACGGGGUUCUCUAAUGGCUUAUUCGAAACUACUCCAUCAUCGCCAUCAUGUCACCCAUUCUCACCCUUCUCUUCUCCCUCUUCCUCUUCGCCUCUCCAUCUUCCUCCUCCCGUCAACACCAAACUCCUCCGCUCACUCCCUCCGCACAGAUCCGUCUUGCAUGCAACGCCACUCGCUACCCAGACCUCUGCGUCUCUUCUCUAUCCAAACCGGGUCGAGUCCCUCCGAGUCCUAACCCAUCACAGAUCAUCCACUCAGCGAUCUCCGUCUCUUUAGAAAACCUCAAAACCGCUCAAACGAAAGUGAAGUCUAUCCUGGACGCGUCCGUAGGCAAUCUAAACCGCACCAACGCCGCGAAAACGUGCCUCCAGCUACUCUCUUACUCCGAACACCGCACCAACUCAACAGAUCAAGCUCUGACACGUGGCAAAAUCAAAGACGCUCGCGCUUGGAUGAGCGCUGCUCUCGUCUACCAGUACGACUCAUGGUCCGCGCUCAAAUACGUCAACGGCACGAAGGAAGUCGCUGAAACGAUGUCGUUUCUCAACGGACUCAUCAAUGUCACCAGUAACGCUCUUAGCAUGAUGGUAUCGUACGAUAACUUCGGAGACAACGUCGCCUCGUGGGCUCCUCCGGCAACGGAAAGAGACGGGUUCUGGGAUAAGACUAGUGGGCCUAAGGUGGGUGCUGGGCCGAGUUUGGGCUUCCCUUCCGGUUUAAAAGAAGACGUUACGGUGUGUAAAAACGGGAUGUGCCGUUACAAGACGGUGCAGGAUGCCGUUAACGCGGCGCCUGAUAACUACGGAGCGCGUAAGUUUGUUAUAAAGAUUAACGAAGGAGUGUAUGAGGAGACAGUUACGGUUCCGUUUGAGAAGAAGAACGUUGUCUUCAUCGGAGACGGUAUGGGCAAAACGGUCAUUACAGGAUCUUUAAACGCCGGUAUGCCUGGUAUCACCACAUACAACACUGCAACUGUCGGUAAGUUUUUCUUAUUAUAAGCCAAUGGAUUAUGAGUUAACACCUUGUUCAUGUUAAAAACAACGAAACAAGCCGUAGUAGCUUAGUGAUAAUUUUUUUGAAGUUCACUGUGUACCCACGUCAAUUCGAGUUCCACUUAUGCUGGAAACUAAAUUAUCUUUGUUUGGUCAAUCUGGACUGUCCAGAUGGUUAACAUGGUGGCCAUAACAUCGUAAAAAUAUUUAUUUAAUUAUGGACAAUAAGCUGUGAAAUAUUAUUAAAUUAAGUUAUUUGUAUUAAAAGUAAUAAUUAUAACAUACUGCUACAUGUUACAAAAAAAAAAAAUAUAUAUAUAUAUGUAUAUAUAACAUACUGCUACAUGUUUGGUUUGAUAGGAGUGGUAGGAGAUGGAUUCAUGGCACGUGAUAUAACGUUUCAAAACACGGCGGGACCAGACACUCACCAAGCAGUUGCGUUUAGAUCCGACAGCGAUUUUUCUCUGCUCGAGAACUGUGAGUUCCUUGGGAACCAAGACACACUCUAUGCCCAUGGCCUCCGUCAGUUUUACAAAAAAUGCCGUAUCCAAGGAAACGUUGACUUUAUCUUUGGAAACUCAGCGUCCGUCUUCCAAGACUGCGAGAUCCUAAUAGCGCCGCGUCAGCUUAAUCCCGAGAAGGGUGAGAAUAACGCCGUCACUGCCCAAGGAAGAGUUGACCCAGCGCAGUCCACGGGGUUCGUGUUCUUGAACUGUUCGAUAACCGGAACGGAUGAGUACAUGAAGCUGUAUAAGGCCAACCCUAAGGUGCAUAAGAGCUACUUGGGAAGGCCGUGGAAAGAUUACUCAAGGACUGUGUUUAUUGGGUGUAAUUUAGAGGCUUUGAUUAAUUCCGAUGGGUGGUUACCUUGGAGCGGGGAUUUGUCGCUCAAGACGCUUUAUUACGGUGAAUCUAAGAACACGGGUCCGGGAUCUGAUAGGUCAAAAAGGGUUCCAUGGAGCAGUGUGAUUCCAGACGAGCAUGUUGAUAUGUAUUCGGUGGCUAACUUUA